This 497-nucleotide ribosomal RNA is filed under the name uncultured bacterium. Its description in RNAcentral is "partial 16S ribosomal RNA". It matches the Rfam family "Bacterial small subunit ribosomal RNA", at positions 28 to 507 of the family's 1533-position model. The record is from RNAcentral.
GAUGAACGCUGGCGGCGUGCCUAAUACAUGCAAGUCGAGCGAACAGACGAGGAUCUUGCUCCUCUGACGUUAUCGGCGGACGGGUGAGUAACACGUGGAUAACCUACCUAUAAGACUGGGAUAACUUCGGGAAACCGGAGCUAAUACCGGAUAAUAUAUUGAACCGCAUGUUUCAAUAGUGAAAGACGGUUUUGCUGUCACUUAUAGAUGGAUCCGCGCCGCAUUAGCUAGUUGGUAAGGUAACGGCUUACCAAGGCAACGAUGCGUAGCCGACCUGAGAGGGUGAUCGGCCACACUGGAACUGAGACACGGUCCAGACUCCUACGGGAGGCAGCAGUAGGGAAUCUUCCGCAAUGGGCGAAAGCCUGACGGAGCAACGCCGCGUGAGUGAUGAAGGUCUUCGGAUCGUAAAACUCUGUUAUUAGGGAAGAACAAAUGUGUAAGUAACUAUGCACGUCUUGACGGUACCUAAUCAGAAAGCCACGGCUAGCUACGUG